RNAcentral lists this ribosomal RNA (403 nucleotides) under uncultured Azospirillum sp. RNAcentral describes it as "bacterial SSU rRNA". It matches the Rfam family "Bacterial small subunit ribosomal RNA", at positions 981 to 1382 of the family's 1533-position model. The record is from RNAcentral. Lineage: Bacteria; Pseudomonadati; Pseudomonadota; Alphaproteobacteria; Rhodospirillales; Azospirillaceae.
UUGACAUCCGGUAUCGGUCCUCGAGAGAUUGAGGACUUCCCGUUCGGGGAGGCCGAGACAGGUGCUGCAUGGCUGUCGUCAGCUCGUGUCGUGAGAUGUUGGGUUAAGUCCCGCAACGAGCGCAACCCCCAUCGUCAGUUGCCAGCAUUCAGUUGGGCACUCUGGCGAAACCGCCGGCGCCAAGCCGGAGGAAGGCGGGGAUGACGUCAAGUCCUCAUGGCCCUUAUGGGCUGGGCUACACACGUGCUACAAUGGCGGUGACAGUGGGACGCGAAACCGCGAGGUGGAGCAAAUCCCCAAAAGCCGUCUCAGUUCGGAUUGCACUCUGCAACUCGAGUGCAUGAAGUUGGAAUCGCUAGUAAUCGCGGAUCAGCACGCCGCGGUGAAUACGUUCCCGGGCCUU